Molecule: ribosomal RNA, 769 nt
Filed under: uncultured archaeon
Lineage: Archaea
Description: bacterial SSU rRNA
Rfam family: Archaeal small subunit ribosomal RNA
Source: RNAcentral
UUCCGGUUGAUCCUGCCGGACCCCACUGCUAUCGGGAUGGGACUAAGACAUGCUAGUCGUGCGCUUCCAAGCCACGGUGGAGGCGCGGCGCACAGCUCAGUAGCACGUGGCUAACCUACCCUUGGGACGGAAACAACCCCGGGAAACUGGGGCUAAUUUCCGAUAGGUGAAGACUCCUGGAAUGGAUCUUCGCCCAAAAGGCGUUUAGACCAUGCUUCUAAGCGCUGCCCAAGGAUGGGGCCGCGGCCGAUCAGGUUGUUGGUGAGGUAACGGCUCACCAAGCCUUUAACCGGUUCGGGCCGUGAGAGCGGGAGCCCGGAGAUGGGCACUGAGACAAGGGCCCAGGCCCUACGGGGCGCAGCAGUCGCGAAAACUUCGCAAUACGCGGGAGCGUGACGGGGCCAUCCCGAGUGCCGUCCGCUGAGGAUGGCUUUUCCCCAGUGUAGAUAGCUGGGGGAAUAAGGAGAGGGCAAGUCUGGUGUCAGCCGCCGCGGUAAUACCAGCUCUCCGAGUGGUGGGGAUGUUUAUUGGGCUUAAAGCAUCCGUAGCUGGCUGGGCAAGUCCCCUGUUAAAUCUAACGAUUCAAUCGUUGGAUUGCGGGGGAUACUGCUCGGCUAGGGGGCGGGAGAGGCCGACGGUAUUCCCGGGGUAGGGGUGAAAUCCUAUAAUCCCGGGAGGACCACCAGUGGCGAAGGCUGUCGGCUAAAACGCGCCCCGACGGUGAGGGAUGAAAGCUGGGGGGAGCGAACCGGAAUUUAAAUACCCGGGU